AUGGCUGCUGAGGGCGAGCCUGAAUGGUGCAAACCGAAGGGGAAGGUUGUGUGGAGACAUAGACAGAUGUAAAGAAGACUGUGUCUCUGGGCCUGUUAAGACCACAGUUCCCUUCAGUCCGAAACGCAUCUUGGUGACUGAGCAGAUUCCUUCUCAGAACCUAGGAUCUGCUAGCAGUGGAAAGGCCCAAGGGGUUCUGUGUCCUUCCAACUCCCAGCAUGUCCCUUCACAAGCCCAGAAACUUGUAGCAGGUCACAAGCCAGUGCUAAAGCAGUUGCCAGCUGCCAGUGUUCCUCAACCAGUGUCCCGGCUCAAUAAACCCCAGAGUGAGCAACCUGCAGCCUCGGGAAAUAAUUCUGAAAAGGAGCGGGCAUCCCAUACAGAAGACUGAAGACACACAAAAAAGGCCAUGGACUUUGGAAGAUUUUGACAUUGGCCGCCCACUAGAAAAAUGGAAGUUUGGAAAUGUCUAUUUGGCGAGGGAGAAGCAAAGCAAGUGCAUCCUGCCUCUGAAGGUGCUGUUUAAAAUACAGCUGGAGAAGGCCUGUGUGGAGCACCAGCUUCGAAGUGGAGAUCCAGUCGCACCUGCGUCACUCCAGCAUCCUCAGGCUGUAUGGAUUGUUUCCAUGACACCACCCAAGUUUAUCUGAUUCUAGAAUACGCACCCCUUGGAACCGCUUCAAAAGCUCUCUAAGUUUGGCGAGCAGAGAACGGCUACUUAUGUCACUGAGUUGGCAAACGCUCUGCUUUACUGUCAUUCAAAGAGAGUGAUCCACAGAGACAUUAAGCCAGGGAACUUGCUGCUUGGCUCAAACGGAGAGUUGACGAUAGCAGACUUCAGAUGGUCUGUACACAUUCCGUCUUCCAGGAGAACCACACUGUGUGGCACCCUGGACUACCUGCCUCUGGAAAUGAUUAAAGGCUGGUUGCAUGAUAAGAAGGUGGACCUCUGGAUCCAAGGCAUUCUCUGCUAAGAGCUCCUAGUGGGGAUUCCCACUUUCGAGACACACACUUACCAGGAGACCUACAGAAGGAUAUCAUGGAUUGAAUUCACAUUCCCUGACUUUGUGACGGAGGGAGUCAGGGACCUCAUUUCAAGACUGUUAAAACACAAUUCAAGUCAAAGGCUAACACUAGCAGAAGUCCUUGAGCUUCCUUGGAUCAAAGCUAACUCCUCCAAACCUCCAACUGGCAAAUCAUCUUAGGGAAUCCUGAGCCAGGAACACCGUGCAACUGUGAGAAAUACCCCAUUGAAGCCGCCCACCCAGACCAUCAUGGCUGCCCUCAAGAGUGCCUUGCUGAGGAACUAGUCCUUGGCCUGGCAUCUAGGAAAUCCCACCUGUUACCCAGCCCCCAAGAACCAUGCUGCUCUUCUUGGUUUAGUAAUCUGGAGGGAAGGUUCCACUGAAGCUUCCCCCAUCUCCUUGCCUAUGCCCCAAGGUGUCCUACUGGAUGUCUCACUGUAGGAAAGUUACCAGUGAUCACCUGCAU
This is an RNA transcript of Mastomys coucha (southern multimammate mouse), 1491 nucleotides long. It is a transcript of the gene named aurora kinase A pseudogene, with no coding region annotated. Lineage: Eukaryota; Metazoa; Chordata; Mammalia; Rodentia; Muridae. The record is from RefSeq and is a predicted model, not a curated record. The transcript has a single exon.